GUAGGUGGCAAGCGUUGUCCGGAAUUAUUGGGCGUAAAGCGCGCGCAGGCGGUUCGUUUAAGUCUGAUGUGAAAGCCCACGGGCUCAACCGUGGAGGGUCAUUGGAAACUGGAGAACUUGAGUACAGAAGAGGAAAGCGGAAUUCCACGUGUAGCGGUGAAAUGCGUAGAGAUGUGGAGGAACACCAGUGGCGAAGGCGGCUUUCUGGUCUGUAACUGACGCUGAGGCGCGAAAGCGUGGGGAGCAAACAGGAUUAGAUACCCUGGUAGUCCACGCCGUAAACGAUGAGUGCUAAGUGUUAGGGGGUUUCCGCCCCUUAGUGCUGCAGCUAACGCACUAAGCACUCCGCCUGGGGAGUACGGCCGCAAGGCUG
Molecule: ribosomal RNA, 373 nt
Filed under: uncultured organism
Description: partial 16S ribosomal RNA
Rfam family: Bacterial small subunit ribosomal RNA
Source: RNAcentral